UACAGAGACCUCAAACGUUAUCCGGAUUCAUUGGGCGUAAAGGGUCCGCAGGUGUUCCACCAAGUUCCUUGUUAAAUCCCGUGGCUUAACCUCGGGACUGCAGGGAAAACUAGUGGAAUUGAGGAUGUGAGAGGUAUACGGAACUGCCGGUGUAGUAGUAAAAUGCGUUGAUAUCGGCAGGAACACCAAAGGCGAAGGCAGUAUACUGGAACAUUCCUGACACUCAGGGACGAAAGCGUGGGGAGCGAAUGGGAUUAGAAACCCUUGUAGU
This 271-nucleotide ribosomal RNA is filed under the name uncultured bacterium. RNAcentral describes it as "partial 16S ribosomal RNA". It matches the Rfam family "Bacterial small subunit ribosomal RNA", at positions 524 to 794 of the family's 1533-position model. The record is from RNAcentral.